RNAcentral lists this ribosomal RNA (927 nucleotides) under Scopioricus sp. MCJ-2002. RNAcentral's name for it is "SSU rRNA". It matches the Rfam family "Eukaryotic small subunit ribosomal RNA", at positions 74 to 901 of the family's 1831-position model. Lineage: Eukaryota; Metazoa; Arthropoda; Insecta; Orthoptera; Tettigoniidae. The record is from RNAcentral.
AAUUAAGGUGAAACCGCGAAUGGCUCAUUAAAUCAGUUAUGGUUCCUUAGAUCGUACCAAGUUACUUGGAUAACUGUGGUAAUUCUAGAGCUAAUACAUGCAAACAGAGUCCCGACCUUAACCGGGAGGGACGCUUUUAUUAGAUCAAAACCAAUCGGUCGGCUCGUCCGGUCCGUUUGCCUUGGUGACUCUGAAUAACUUUGGGCUGAUCGCACGGUCCUGGUACCGGCGACGCAUCUUUCAAAUGUCUGCCUUAUCAACUGUCGAUGGUAGGUUCUGCGCCUACCAUGGUUGUAACGGGUAACGGGGAAUCAGGGUUCGAUUCCGGAGAGGGAGCCUGAGAAACGGCUACCACAUCCAAGGAAGGCAGCAGGCGCGCAAAUUACCCACUCCCGGCACGGGGAGGUAGUGACGAAAAAUAACGAUACGGGACUCAUCCGAGGCCCCGUAAUCGGAAUGAGUACACUUUAAAUCCUUUAACGAGUAUCCAUUGGAGGGCAAGUCUGGUGCCAGCAGCCGCGGUAAUUCCAGCUCCAAUAGCGUAUAUUAAAGUUGUUGCGGUUAAAAAGCUCGUAGUUGGAUUUGUGUCCCACGCUGUCGGUUCAUCGCUCGUCGGUGUCUAACUGGCAUGGCUCGUGGGACGUCCUGCCGGUGGUGGCGAGUCGAAAGCGUGCCCCCGCGGUGUAUCCCACCGCGGUUCUCGCGCGCCGUAGGCGGACCCCGAUGAAAUCCUACCGCGGUGCUCUUUACCGAGUGUCGAGGUGGGCCGGCACGUUUACUUUGAACAAAUUAGAGUGCUUAAAGCAGGCCUGUUGCGCCUGAAUACUGUGUGCAUGGAAUAAUGGAAUAGGACCUCGGUUCUAUUUUGUUGGUUUUCGGAACCCGAGGUAAUGAUUAAUAGGGACAGGCGGGGGCAUUCGUAUUGCG